RNAcentral lists this ribosomal RNA (248 nucleotides) under uncultured Actinomycetes bacterium. RNAcentral's name for it is "uncultured actinobacterium partial 16S ribosomal RNA". It matches the Rfam family "Bacterial small subunit ribosomal RNA", at positions 28 to 276 of the family's 1533-position model. The record is from RNAcentral. Lineage: Bacteria; Bacillati; Actinomycetota; Actinomycetes.
GACGAACGCUGGCGGCGUGCUUAACACAUGCAAGUCGAGCGGUAAGGCCCUUUCGGGGUACGACGAGCGGCGAACGGGUGAGUAACACGUGGGUGACCUGCCUUUAGCUCUGGGAUAAGCCUGGGAAACGUGGGUCUAAUACCGGAUAUGACCUCAUGAUGCAUGUUGUGGGGUGGAAAGCCUUGUGCGGCUGGAGAUGGGCCCGCGGCCUAUCAGCUUGUUGGUGGGGUGAUGGCCUACCAAGGCGA